RNAcentral lists this ribosomal RNA (253 nucleotides) under uncultured bacterium. RNAcentral's name for it is "partial 16S ribosomal RNA". It matches the Rfam family "Bacterial small subunit ribosomal RNA", at positions 524 to 776 of the family's 1533-position model. The record is from RNAcentral.
UACGAGGGGGGCGAGCGUUGUUCGGAAUUAUUGGGCGUAAAGGGUGCGUAGGCGGUUUGGUAAGUCUUAUGUGAAAUCUACAGGCUCAACUUGUAGUCUGCAUGAGAAACUGCCGGGCUUGAGUAUGGGAGAGGUGAGUGGAAUUCCUGGUGUAGCGGUGAAAUGCGUAGAUAUCAGGAGGAACACCGGUGGCGAAGGCGGAUCUCUGGGCCAUAACUGACGCUGAGGAGCGAAAGCAUGGGGAGCGAACAGG